CGCGGCCUAUCAGCUUGUUGGUGGGGUAACGGCCUACCAAGGCAUCGACGGGUAGCCGGUCUGAGAGGACGAUCAGCCACACUGGGACUGAGACACGGCCCAGACUCCUACGGGAGGCAGCAGUGGGGAAUAUUGCGCAAUGGGGGAAACCCUGACGCAGCAACGCCGCGUGUGGGAUGACGGCCUUCGGGUUGUAAACCACUUUCAGUGAUGACGAAAAUGACGGUAAUCACAGAAGAAGCUCCGGCCAACUACGUGCCAGCAGCCGCGGUAACACGUAGGGAGCGAGCGUUGUCCGGAUUUAUUGGGCGUAAAGAGCUCGUAGGCGGUUUCGUAAGUCAGAUGUGAAAACUCAGGGCUCAACCCUGAGACGCCAUCUGAUACUGCGAUGACUAGAGUCCGGUAGAGGAGAUUGGAAUUCCUGGUGUAGCGGUGGGAUGCGCAGAUAUCAGGAGGAACACCAACGGCGAAGGCAGAUCUCUGGGCCGGUACUGACGCUGAGGAGCGAAAGCAUGGGGAGCAAACAGGAUUAGAUACCCUGGUAGUCCAUGCCGUAAACGUUGGGCACUAGGUGUGGGACCUUCUAACGGGUUCCGUGCCGUAGCUAACGCAUUAAGUGCCCCGCCUGGGGAGUACGG
Molecule: ribosomal RNA, 638 nt
Filed under: uncultured bacterium
Lineage: Bacteria
Description: bacterial SSU rRNA
Rfam family: Bacterial small subunit ribosomal RNA
Source: RNAcentral